This 497-nucleotide ribosomal RNA is filed under the name uncultured bacterium. Its description in RNAcentral is "partial 16S ribosomal RNA". It matches the Rfam family "Bacterial small subunit ribosomal RNA", at positions 28 to 507 of the family's 1533-position model. The record is from RNAcentral.
GAUGAACGCUGGCGGCGUGCCUAAUACAUGCAAGUCGAGCGAACAGACGAGGAGCUCGCUCCUCUGACGUUAGCGGCGGACGGGUGAGUAACACGUGGAUAACCUACCUAUAAGACUGGGAUAACUUCGGGAAACCGGAGCUAAUACCGGAUAAUAUAUUGAACCGCAUGGUUCAAUAGUGAAAGACGGUUUUGCUGUCACUUAUAGAUGGAUCCGCGCCGCAUUAGCUAGUUGGUAAGGUAACGGCUCACCAAGGCAACGAUGCGUAGCCGACCUGAGAGGGUGAUCGGCCACACUGGAACUGAGACACGGUCCAGACUCCUACGGGAGGCAGCAGUGGGGAAUCUUCCGCAAUGGGCGAAAGCCUGACGGAGCAACGCCGCGUGAGUGAUGAAGGUCUUCGGAUCGUAAAACUCUGUUAUUAGGGAAGAACAAAUGUGUAAGUAACUAUGCACGUCUUGACGGUACCUAAUCAGAAAGCCACGGCUAACUACGUG